GACCGUCGGCACCAGGCACGACGGGUAGCCGGCCUGAGAGGGUGACCGGCCACACUGGGACUGAGACACGGCCCAGACUCCUACGGGAGGCAGCAGUGGGGAAUAUUGGACAAUGGGCGAAAGCCUGAUCCAGCAACGCCGCGUGAGGGAUGACGGCCUUCGGGUUGUAAACCUCUUUCAGCAGGGACGAAGCGCAAGUGACGGUACCUGCAGAAGAAGCACCGGCCAACUACGUGCCAGCAGCCGCGGCCG
This 252-nucleotide ribosomal RNA is filed under the name uncultured Nocardioides sp. RNAcentral's name for it is "partial 16S ribosomal RNA". It matches the Rfam family "Bacterial small subunit ribosomal RNA", at positions 259 to 523 of the family's 1533-position model. The record is from RNAcentral. Lineage: Bacteria; Bacillati; Actinomycetota; Actinomycetes; Propionibacteriales; Nocardioidaceae.